UAAACCUCUUUCUGGAAGUUCAUUAGGAAGGCAGUGAGAGUCUUGCCGGCCACAUAUCUUAAUGUUCAUUUGUAUUGAUAUGACAACUGGCUUUGGCAAGUGGAUGGAUUUAUAGUACCAUACCUUGAAGGUGUGUAGGGGAAUAUUUGUAGUAGAUCAUCUUCCAGUGGCCAAGAGCUCAGCUAGUUCAACUGGGUUCCACAUUCAGAAGGAAAUAGGAAUACAAGACAAUAAGUUCCUUGAACCUGUCUACGGAAGUAACCUCAACAUAGGUGCUGGAAGACAAGAAGAACACUGAAUUGUAUCCUAUUAGCAUCCAGCUGUGAACCACAAUUAGGCUCUUUGGACCAAUCGAGUAGCA
Molecule: long non-coding RNA, 361 nt
Filed under: Lingula anatina
Lineage: Eukaryota; Metazoa; Brachiopoda; Lingulata; Lingulida; Lingulidae
Description: uncharacterized LOC106174732, transcript variant X4
Source: RNAcentral